This is a long non-coding RNA of Pipra filicauda (Wire-tailed manakin), 328 nucleotides long. RefSeq lists it as uncharacterized. The transcript has 3 exons. The record is from RefSeq and is a predicted model, not a curated record. Lineage: Eukaryota; Metazoa; Chordata; Aves; Passeriformes; Pipridae.
AACUGUUUUACAGAGAGGGAUUGUGGAGGAGAACUCGGAGCUAUAAAAUGAGAGAAAAGGACACAACAUCUUGUUAAACAAUGAUAAAAGAAGAUUUUGCAUGGUGGUGUUAGAACAUCUGUUUCUGUGAUUCAAUGGAAAAAACACUUCAUGAGAAAACAGAGUAAUGGAAGCCAAUGACAACUUCAGCUACGGUCCCAGUGCCUUCAUGGGAUGAGACUGCCUUGCAAGCAAUUAAGGAAGAUCCAGAAAUCUUCAAAAAGUAGCAUUAAACACUAUGCUAGAACUAUUGAUCAGUCUUAAAAUUAAUAAAGCCCCCAAAACACUA